This 406-nucleotide transfer-messenger RNA is filed under the name Mycoplasmataceae bacterium. It matches the Rfam family "transfer-messenger RNA". Rfam says of the family: Bacterial tmRNA, also known as 10Sa RNA or SsrA, is named for its dual tRNA and mRNA-like properties. Its role is to liberate the mRNA from a stalled ribosome. Lineage: Bacteria; Bacillati; Mycoplasmatota; Mollicutes; Mycoplasmatales; Mycoplasmataceae. The record is from RNAcentral.
GGGGAUGUCAAGGCUUCGACAUGAAUAAUUGACUUUCAAAAGCAGUGGGGUUUGCCCCUUAUAGCUAUCGAGAUUGCUUAAAUGCAGACUCAAGAGAAGACAACGUUAACUUAGACGAAGCAUUCUUAGUCAACCAAUUGUCAGCACAAAACAACCUUAACUACGCUUUUGUAGCCUAGGCUUUUGUGUCUCAAGGUGUUUAAGGUUAGACUACUUACCUUAACACAUUAGAAUAAGUAGUUAUAUUAAGUUGAUGUCAAUAAACUUAAUGAAAUUCAUUGACUUAGUUACACCAAGGUUGUUCUAAUACCUAAAUGGUGUAAUAAAUUGCUAAAUUAGGACUAAACUGUAGAAAUUGUUAGAAAGCUAUUUGUGGAAACGGGUUCGAUUCCCGUCAUCUCCACCA